Non-coding RNA from Sus scrofa (pig), 492 nucleotides. The record is from RefSeq and is a predicted model, not a curated record. Lineage: Eukaryota; Metazoa; Chordata; Mammalia; Artiodactyla; Suidae.
GCCCUGGCCCUGGGAGACCCUGAAGCUGACCGUCUUGCGAGCCUCUGGUUCGGCGCUGGCUUUAGAGAUGGAAAAGGUCUGGGCCUUCCCCCUGUUUCUGGCGUGCCUGUAAGAUCUGUGGCUGCUGAAUCCGCAACCCGGGCAGGAUCAAGGAAAGCCUCCAAAGCUCCAUAACGGCCCUCCAUCCCCAUCCUCACUGGCUGACCGCUGGGCUUUGGUUUGGUCCGUCCAAUCCACUCUAGGCUCCGAUUUAGCUCUUGUUCCCAGUCAGGGACUUUGAACGUGGCAGGUGCUUCAGUGACCUUAGAAUCUCUAGAGGAAUGCGCCAGAGGUGAAAGAAGAUGCCCUUCAUGGUUUCUUAAAACGCCUGCAGCAGAACCAGUGGAGGAUCUCCAGUUCUAGGCGGUGGGGUAGUAGAUACUACUCCUGCAUACUGGAGAAUUCUGCCUUGCCUCGAUGGCCCUGGAAACAAUGCCUUUCAAUCGAACCAGG